This 253-nucleotide ribosomal RNA is filed under the name uncultured bacterium. Its description in RNAcentral is "partial 16S ribosomal RNA". It matches the Rfam family "Bacterial small subunit ribosomal RNA", at positions 524 to 776 of the family's 1533-position model. The record is from RNAcentral.
UACGUAGGGGGCAAGCGUUGUCCGGAAUCAUUGGGCGUAAAGAGCGCGUAGGCGGCCCAGUCAGUCCGCUCUGAAAGUCAGGGGCUCAACCCCUGAAUGCGGGUGGAUACUGCUGGGCUAGAGUCCGGAAGAGGCGAGUGGAAUUCCUGGUGUAGCGGUGAAAUGCGCAGAUAUCAGGAGGAACACCGAUGGCGAAGGCAGCUCGCUGGGACGGUACGGACGCUGAGGCGCGAAAGCGUGGGGAGCAAACAGG